This 486-nucleotide ribosomal RNA is filed under the name uncultured bacterium. Its description in RNAcentral is "partial 16S ribosomal RNA". It matches the Rfam family "Bacterial small subunit ribosomal RNA", at positions 30 to 507 of the family's 1533-position model. The record is from RNAcentral.
AUUGAACGCUGGCGGCAUGCCUUACACAUGCAAGUCGAACGGCAGCACGGGUGCUUGCACCUGGUGGCGAGUGGCGAACGGGUGAGUAAUACAUCGGAACAUGUCCUGUAGUGGGGGAUAGCCCGGCGAAAGCCGGAUUAAUACCGCAUACGAUCCACGGAUGAAAGCGGGGGACCUUCGGGCCUCGCGCUAUAGGGUUGGCCGAUGGCUGAUUAGCUAGUUGGUGGGGUAAAGGCCUACCAAGGCGACGAUCAGUAGCUGGUCUGAGAGGACGACCAGCCACACUGGGACUGAGACACGGCCCAGACUCCUACGGGAGGCAGCAGUGGGGAAUUUUGGACAAUGGGCGAAAGCCUGAUCCAGCAAUGCCGCGUGUGUGAAGAAGGACUUCGGGUUGUAAAGCACUUUUGUCCGGAAAGAAAUCUUUGACUCUAAUACAGUCGGGGGAUGACGGUACCGGAAGAAUAAGCACCGGCUAACUACGUG